UAAGUUUGUAACGAUUAUGUGAAACGUCUUUAUAUUCUAGCAACGGAUUUAUGCAUGCCAAUUAAAUGUCGACCCUUAAUUAACAAAUACAAAUAAGUUAUCAAUCAAAUAGUUAAGCCAAUUGCAUUCACAAUUCAAGAGUUCAUAACUGGAAUUUAUGAAAUUAUAUUGCACACAUAAUCAUGGCUUUGAAAUCACCCCUAGCCAAGAGGGGUUUAG
RNAcentral lists this long non-coding RNA (219 nucleotides) under Malus domestica (apple). RNAcentral's name for it is "long non-coding RNA (MDOM_LNC019562)". The record is from RNAcentral. Lineage: Eukaryota; Viridiplantae; Streptophyta; Magnoliopsida; Rosales; Rosaceae.